CCUACGGGUGGCAGCAGUGAGGAAUAUUGGUCAAUGGGCGCGAGCCUGAACCAGCCAAGUAGCGUGAAGGAUGACUGCCCUACGGGUUGUAAACUUCUUUUAUAAAGGAAUAAAUUUAGGCACGUGUUCUUUUUUGUAUGUACCUUAUGAAUAAGGCUCGGCUAACUCCGUUCCAGCAUCCGCCGUAAUACGGAGGAGCCGAGCGUUAUCCGGAUUUAUUGUGUUUAAAGGGUGCGUAGAUGGGUUGUUAAGUCAGUUGUGAAAGUUUGUGGCUCAACAGUAAAAUUGCAAUUGAUACUGGUAGGCUUGAGUAUAUUUGAGGUAGGCGGAAUUCGUGGUGUAGCGGUGAAAUGCUUAGAUAUCACGAAGAACUCCGAUUGCGAAGGCAGCUUACUAAGCUGUGACUGACAUUGAUGCUCGAAAGUGUGGGUAUCAAACAGGAUUAGAUACCCCUGUAGUC
This 460-nucleotide ribosomal RNA is filed under the name uncultured bacterium. RNAcentral describes it as "partial 16S ribosomal RNA". It matches the Rfam family "Bacterial small subunit ribosomal RNA", at positions 338 to 795 of the family's 1533-position model. The record is from RNAcentral.